Molecule: long non-coding RNA, 3365 nt
Filed under: Homo sapiens (human)
Lineage: Eukaryota; Metazoa; Chordata; Mammalia; Primates; Hominidae
Description: non-protein coding lnc-DUSP22-7:1
Source: RNAcentral
AGAAACAUGCCUGUCAACAACUUGAUUUUAGUUCACUAAAAUUCAUGCCUGAUUUCUGACUUGUGUACACUGUAAGAUGACAAGUUUGUGUUAUUUUAGGUCACUUAGUUUGUAGAAAUUUGUUACAGCAGUAAUAGAACAAGUGGUUAUCCAUAUGAGGCAAAUUAGAUUGGAUACCUAUCUCCAAUAGAAAUCAAUUCAAGGUGAAUUCCAGGAAAAUACUUAAAGAAAAAUAAGACAUAGAACAAGCAAAAUGCAUAAACAAAAGAAGGCAAAACAAAAAUAAUGACUCAUAAUUAUAUGAAAAGAAACUCAUCUUCAUAGAUGAGCAGAUAAAUGCAAAUUAAAACCACCCUGAGAUGCUUUUUACAUCCAUGAGCCUGAUAAAAGUUAGAGUCUAAAAGUAAUAAUUAACAAAGAUGGGAAGUAACAGAAAAUCUUGUCCAUUACUGGUUAAAGUAUAAACUGAUACAGCUACUUUAUAGAAUAUUACAUUAUAGAAUAAAGUUGUGAGUAUGUAUAUGCAGUGACUCAGCAUAUUCAUUGCUAGUAUGUACUCAAGAGAAACUUACAGGAGUGGACUAGGAAGUAAACACAAAAUGAUUACAACAUUGUUUGUUAUAUCAAAAAAUAAAAAAGACACCCAAUUUUCCAGCAAAAAAAAUAAGUAAAAAUAAAUCCUGGUGUAUUCUAACAAUGGAAUAAUAUAUAGCCAUUAAAAUAAAUCAACUAUUACUGUACAUAUGAAUGUAAGUAUCAGCAAAACAUAUUGUUUAGUGAAAAACUAAGAAGCUGAAGAAGAAUAUAUACAAUAUGGUUACAUUUAUAUGAAGUCCAAAAACUUGCAAAAUAAAGAAAUGUAUUUAGAAAUAGAUUCACAUGUGAGAAAACUAGAAGAAAAUUAAUGAAAGGAUAAGAGGGAUAGCAGUAAUUCUGAGUAGUUGAGGGAAUUUCAAUUGGAAAAAAAUAAUAUCAUAUUCUUUAAGUCAGGUAGUGGGUAUUAGCAUUUGUUUUACCAUCGUUCUUUAUUCUUAUAGCUACACUAUAUAUUUUCAAUGUAUUUAAUGUAUUUUUUGCAUAAUUAAAUAUUAUGCAAUAAAAAUGAGAAAACAAAAAAGUAGAAAAUGAUAAAUUACAAUAAAGAAAUGGAGAAAAAAUUAUAAUCUAGUUGAGUAAUGGUAUAUUACAUAGCUAUUUUCUUAAGUAGAUGUAUAUACAUGAUGUAUGCACGAUUGUACAUACAUGUUCUUAAUUAUAUAUAAAUAUAUAUGUACAUAUUUUUAAUAUAAAAUACUAAACAAAGUACACCAAAAUAUUAGCUCCUAUGUUAGUGAGAUAAUGUUUUUUUUUUUGUAUUUUAAGUUUUACAUAGUAGGUGUAUUUUUCUGUUUUCAUACUGCUAUAAAGAAAUGCCCAAGACUGGGUAAUUUAUAAAGGAAAGAAGUUUAAUUGGCUCACAGUUCAGCACAGCUUGGGAGGCCUCAGGAAAUCUACAAUCAUGGCGGAAGACAAAGAGGAAGCAAGCCAGCUUCUUCGCAAGGCAGCAUGAAGAAGUGCCGAGCAAAGGGGAAAGAAUCCCUUAUAAAACCAUCAAAUCUCGUGAGAACUCACUAUCACAAGAACAGCACAGGGGAAACUGCCCCCAUGAUUCAAUUACCUCCACCUGGUCUCUCCCUUGACCUGUGGGGAUUAUGGGGGCUAUGGGGAUUACAAUUCAAGACGAGAUUCAGGUGGGGAUACAAAGCCUAACCAUAUCAGUAGGCAUGUAUUGAAUUUUAAACUCAGAGAAAAAUACUAGUGUUUUUAUAGGAUUCUUACUAAAGAAAAACCAGAAAGUAAUAAACCAUCUACGCUAAGACAUAAAAUUCAGUUGUUUAGUUACAAGAUAGAAUGUGGCCUUGUAAGAAAGCAAAUUAACUUCUAACAUACAAAGCCUUAGAGAAGAUUCAAGUGACUGACGGAUCUUAAACAGAGCUAUUAUUACAACUCGAACUGCAGUAAAAUAUCCUCAGCAACAUAGAUGUGUGUGUUUCACUAGUCAGAGCAAUACAAAUUUAAUGAAACUCCAUUGGUGGUGUUUUUAAUCAGACAAUUUCUGAAGAUGUCCUGGCUUAUUCACAGAUGCAAGCCAAAUAGUACCAUAAUAAGAAAAAAAAGAAUACAGGCAAUUGAGAGCUGUUCCAAAGUUUAGGGAGUUUUUGUAAGGAAUUAAUAAAUAAAAAUGUUCUUGACAGAGAGAAAUUAAUAUGCAGUUCAUACUGCCAGAAUUGCAGGCAAUUUAUCAAAGUCCCCUAAUCCUCCAAAAUCGCUAUUUUUUUUUGACACACACUUUACAGUACAGAAGAAAAUGUCUCCGGCAAUAAAUCACAAAGUUAAAAUUACCUAGUCUACAAUUAACUACACAGUGAUGGUAAAUCAUUUUCUACCAAAAGAAAGAAAUGUCUUGUCUAUUCAGGUUCUGCUCUACUUAAAAGUUUUCCUUGUUGGCGAGCAAGUGGUUAGAAAAUCAUAUUUUAUACGUACAUUCAGCUUAACUAUCAUUCAGCUCAGGAAGAUGACUCAGGGCCUUAUCCAUACCUUCAAGAUUGCUCUUAGCAAGUAAUUGUUUCAGUAUCUAUAUCAAAAAUGGCUUAAGCGUGCAACAUGUUUCUGAAUGAUUAACAAGGUGAUAGUCAGUUCUUCAUUGAAUCCUGGAUGCUUUAUUUUUCUUAAUAAGAGGAAUUCAUAUGGAUCAGCUAGAAAAAAAUUAAGAGGAAAAUCACAUGGAAAGUUAUAUAUUAUAUAUCUAUUAUAUAUAAUAUUAUAUAUCUAUUAUAUAUUAUAUAUUGUAUAUCUAUUACAUAUAUAAUAUAUAUGUAUUAUAUAUAUUAUAUAUUAUAUAUCUAUUAUAUAUAUAAUAUUUUAUAUUAUAUAUCAUUUCCAAAUUCCCCAGCGUUCAUAUUUGUCAGUGCAAGUAAAGAGCCUUACUGCUGAUGAGGUUUGAGGUAUGACCAUUUGGCCAGAAUUUAUGAACUCUACAUGUCGCUUGAUGUGUGCUUCAGGGUACACUUUUUUUUUUUUUUUGAGACGGAGUCUUGCUCUGUCGCCCAGGCUGGAGUGCAGCGGUGCGAUCUCAGCUCACCGCAAGCUCCGUCUCCCGGGUUCACGCCAUUCUCCUGCCUGAGCCUCCUGAGUAGCUGGGACUACAGGUGCCCGCCACUAUGCCCUGCUAAUUUUUUGUAUUUUUAGUACAGACGGGGUUUCACCGUGUUAGCCAGGAUGGUCUCGAUCUCCUGACCUCGUGAUCCACCCGCCUCGGCCUCCCAAAGUGCUGGAAUUACAGGUGUGAGCCACCACGCCCGGCCAGGGUACACUUUUAAGCAGAG